This 71-nucleotide transfer RNA is filed under the name Loxodonta africana (African savanna elephant). It matches the Rfam family "tRNA". Rfam says of the family: Transfer RNA (tRNA) molecules are approximately 80 nucleotides in length. Their secondary structure includes four short double-helical elements and three loops (D, anti-codon, and T loops). Lineage: Eukaryota; Metazoa; Chordata; Mammalia; Proboscidea; Elephantidae. The record is from Rfam by way of RNAcentral.
GCCGUGGUGGUUCAGUGGUAGAAUUCUCACCUUCCACGUGGGAGACCCGGGUUCAGUUUCCAGUCAGUGCA